This 2367-nucleotide ribosomal RNA is filed under the name Lacticaseibacillus paracasei. RNAcentral's name for it is "partial 23S ribosomal RNA". It matches the Rfam family "Bacterial large subunit ribosomal RNA", at positions 1 to 2375 of the family's 2925-position model. Lineage: Bacteria; Bacillati; Bacillota; Bacilli; Lactobacillales; Lactobacillaceae. The record is from RNAcentral.
GGUUAAGUUACAAAGGGCGCACGGUGGAUGCCUUGGCACUAGGAGCCGAUGAAGGACGGAACUAAUACCGAUAUGCUUCGGGGAGCUAUAAGUAAGCUUUGAUCCGGAGAUUUCCGAAUGGGGGAACCCAGUACACAUCAGUGUAUUGCUUGUCAGUGAAUACAUAGCUGGCCGGCGGCAGACGCGGGGAACUGAAACAUCUCAGUACCCGCAGGAAGAGAAAGAAAACUCGAUUCCCAUAGUAGCGGCGAGCGAAGUGGGAAGAGCCCAAACCGAGAAGCUUGCUUCUCGGGGUUGUAGGACUGGACAUUGGAGUUACCAAAGUCCGACGUAGUCGAAGUCAGCUGGAAAGCUGCGCCACAGAAGGUGAAAGCCCUGUAAGCGAAACGUCGAACCCUCCGUCCAGGAUCCUGAGUACGGCGGAACACGUGAAAUUCCGUCGGAAUCCGGGAGGACCAUCUCCCAAGGCUAAAUACUCCCUAGUGACCGAUAGUGAACCAGUACCGUGAGGGAAAGGUGAAAAGCACCCCGGAAGGGGAGUGAAACAGUUCCUGAAACCGUGUGCCUACAAUUAGUCAAAGCCCGUUAAUGGGUAAUGGCGUGCCUUUUGUAGAAUGAACCGGCGAGUUACGUUUGCUUGCGAGGUUAAGAUGAAAAGUCGGAGCCGUAGCGAAAGCGAGUCUGAACAGGGCGAAUGAGUAAGCAGAUGUAGACCCGAAACCAAGUGACCUACCCAUGACCAGGUUGAAGGUGUGGUGAAACACACUGGAGGACCGAACCCAUGUAUGUUGAAAAAUGCUGGGAUGAGUUGUGGGUAGCGGUGAAAUUCCAAACGAACUUGGAGAUAGCUGGUUCUCUCCGAAAUAGCUUUAGGGUUAGCCUCGGAGGAUGGAUCAUGGAGGUAGAGCACUGUUUGAACUAGGGGCCCAUCAAGGGUUACUGAAUUCAGAUAAACUCCGAAUACCAUCGAUCUUACUCCGGGAGUCAGACAGUGAGCGAUAAGGUCCAUUGUCGAAAGGGGAACAGCCCAGAUCACCAGUUAAGGUCCCUAAAUUUAUGCUAAGUGGAAAAGGAUGUGGCGUUGCACAGACAACUAGGAUGUUGGCUCAGAAGCAGCCACCAUUUAAAGAGUGCGUAAUAGCUCACUAGUCGAGUGGCACUGCGCCGAAAAUAUACCGGGGCUAAGCAUAAUACCGAAACUGUGGGUGCACCCGUAAGGGUGCGCGGUAGGAGAGCGUUCUAAGGGCGUUGAAGGUCGAUCGUGAGGACGGCUGGAGCGCUUAGAAGUGAGAAUGCCGGCAUGAGUAGCGAAAGAUCAGUGAGAAUCUGAUCCACCGUAUGACUAAGGUUUCCUGGGGAAGGCUCGUCCUCCCAGGGUUAGUCGGGAUCUAAGGCGAGGCCGAGAGGCGUAGUCGAUGACAAGCAGGUUGAGAUUCCUGCACUAGUUUAUUUUGUUUAAGCGAUGGAGGGACGCAGGAGGCUAAGGAAAGCGCACGGCUGGAAAUGUGCGCCCAAGCAGCAAGUCUGACAGCGAGUGAAAUGCUUGCAGUCUUAAGGACAAGCUGUGAUGGGGAGCGAAAUUAUAGUAGCGAAGUUCCUGAUGUCACACUGCCAAGAAAAGCUUCUAGUGAGAAAUAAACUACCCGUACCGCAAACCGACACAGGUAGUCGAGGAGAGUAUCCUCAGGUGAGCGAGCGAACUCUCGUUAAGGAACUCGGCAAAAUGACCCCGUAACUUCGGAAGAAGGGGUGCUGACCGCAAGGUCAGCCGCAGUGAAUAGGCCCAAACAACUGUUUAUCAAAAACACAGGUCUCUGCUAAAUCGUAAGAUGAUGUAUAGGGGCUGACGCCUGCCCGGUGCUGGAAGGUUAAGAGGAUGAGUUAGCGCAAGCGAAGCCCAGAAUUGAAGCCCCAGUAAACGGCGGCCGUAACUAUAACGGUCCUAAGGUAGCGAAAUUCCUUGUCGGGUAAGUUCCGACCCGCACGAAAGGCGUAAUGAUUUGGGCACUGUCUCAACGAGAGACUCGGUGAAAUUAUAGUACCCGUGAAGAUGCGGGUUACCCGCGACAGGACGGAAAGACCCCAUGGAGCUUUACUGUAGCUUGAUAUUGAGUGUUUGUACCGCUUGUACAGGAUAGGUAGGAGCCGUAGAGAUCGGAACGCUAGUUUCGAUGGAGGCGUUGGUGGGAUACUACCCUAGCUGUAUGAACACUCUAACCCGCGCCACUAAUCGUGGCGGGAGACAGUGUCAGGUAGGCAGUUUGACUGGGGCGGUCGCCUCCUAAAAUGUAACGGAGGCGCCCAAAGGUUCCCUCAGAAUGGUUGGAAAUCAUUCGCAGAGUGUAAAGGUAUAAGGGAGCUUGACUG